UUAAUUGUAGCUUAUAAAAAGCAUUUCACUGUUAAUGAAAAAAAAGUUUUAAAUCUCUAUUAAA
This 64-nucleotide transfer RNA is filed under the name Hemisphaerius rufovarius. RNAcentral's name for it is "tRNA-Asn". It matches the Rfam family "tRNA". Rfam says of the family: Transfer RNA (tRNA) molecules are approximately 80 nucleotides in length. Their secondary structure includes four short double-helical elements and three loops (D, anti-codon, and T loops). The record is from RNAcentral. Lineage: Eukaryota; Metazoa; Arthropoda; Insecta; Hemiptera; Issidae.